AGUCGAUGGGAAACGGGUUAAUAUUCCCGUACUUCUUACAAUUGCGAUGGGGGGACGGAGAAGGCUAGGUGGGCCUGGCGACGGUUGUCCAGGUUCAAGUGCGUAGGCUGAAGAGUUAGGUAAAUCCGGCUCCUCGAUAGGCUGAGACACGACGUCGAGCUACUACGGUAGUGAAGUCAUUGAUGCCAUGCUUCCAGGAAAAGCCUCUAAGCUUCAGAUUGUAAGGAAUCGUACCCCAAACCGACACAG
RNAcentral lists this ribosomal RNA (249 nucleotides) under Vibrio alginolyticus. RNAcentral describes it as "partial 23S ribosomal RNA". It matches the Rfam family "Bacterial large subunit ribosomal RNA", at positions 1413 to 1662 of the family's 2925-position model. Lineage: Bacteria; Pseudomonadati; Pseudomonadota; Gammaproteobacteria; Vibrionales; Vibrionaceae. The record is from RNAcentral.